Molecule: ribosomal RNA, 433 nt
Filed under: uncultured bacterium
Lineage: Bacteria
Description: partial 16S ribosomal RNA
Rfam family: Bacterial small subunit ribosomal RNA
Source: RNAcentral
AACGAACGCUGGCGGCAUGCCUAACACAUGCAAGUCGAACGAGACCUUCGGGUCUAGUGGCGCACGGGUGCGUAACGCGUGGGAACCUGCCCUUAGGUUCGGAAUAACUCCCCGAAAGGGGUGCUAAUACCGGAUAAUGUCUUCGGACCAAAGAUUUAUCGCCUUUGGAUGGGCCCGCGUUGGAUUAGCUAGUUGGUAGGGUAAAAGCCUACCAAGGCGACGAUCCAUAGCUGGUCUGAGAGGAUGAUCAGCCACGCUGGGACUGAGACACGGCCCAGAAUCCUACGGGAGGCAGCAGUGGGGAAUAUUGGACAAUGGGCGAAAGCCUGAUCCAGCAAUGCCGCGUGAGUGAUGAAGGCCUUAGGGUUGUAAAGCUCUUUUACCCGGGAUGAUAAUGACAGUACCGGGAGAAUAAGCUCCGGCUAACUCCGUG